GACAGAGGGUGCGAACGUUGUUCGGAAUUACUGGGCGUAAAGCGCGUGUAGGCGGCAGCGUGUGUCGGGCGUGAAAUCCCACGGCUCAACCGUGGAAGUGCACUCGAAACUGCGCAGCUAGAGUCCUGGAGAGGGAGGUGGAAUGCUUGGUGUAGAGGUGAAAUUCGUAGAUAUCAAGCGGAACACCGGUGGCGAAGGCGGCCUUCUGGACAGUGACUGACGCUGAGACGCGAAAGCGUGGGGAGCAAACAGG
This 253-nucleotide ribosomal RNA is filed under the name uncultured bacterium. RNAcentral's name for it is "partial 16S ribosomal RNA". It matches the Rfam family "Bacterial small subunit ribosomal RNA", at positions 524 to 776 of the family's 1533-position model. The record is from RNAcentral.